ACUUAGUGAUCCGGUGGUUCUGCGUGGAAGGGCCAUCGCUCAACGGAUAAAAGCUACCCUGGGGAUAACAGGCUUAUCUCCCCCAAGAGUCCACAUCGACGGGGAGGUUUGGCACCUCGAUGUCGGCGCAUCACAUCCUGGGGCUGUAGUAGGUCCCAAGGGUUGGGCUGUUCGCCCAUUAAAGUGGUACGCGAGCUGGGUUCAGAACGUCGUGAGACAGUUCGGUCCCUAUCCG
Molecule: ribosomal RNA, 235 nt
Filed under: Clostridioides difficile
Lineage: Bacteria; Bacillati; Bacillota; Clostridia; Peptostreptococcales; Peptostreptococcaceae
Description: partial 23S ribosomal RNA
Rfam family: Bacterial large subunit ribosomal RNA
Source: RNAcentral